ACUCUGAAAUCGCCGAGGCGGGAAAAUCUAUUUCCGGUGAAUCAAGCCGGAUCCGACUUCAGAAUCGUCGGAGAAAAGCCACGGUCCGGGAUUGUCGAC
This 99-nucleotide unclassified non-coding RNA is filed under the name Arabidopsis thaliana (thale cress). Its description in RNAcentral is "3' external transcribed spacer". The record is from RNAcentral. Lineage: Eukaryota; Viridiplantae; Streptophyta; Magnoliopsida; Brassicales; Brassicaceae.